GAUGAACGCUGGCGGCGUGCCUAAUACAUGCAAGUCGAGCGAACGGACGAGAAGCUUGCUUCUCUGAUGUUAGCGGCGGACGGGUGAGUAACACGUGGAUAACCUACCUAUAAGACUGGGAUAACUUCGGGAAACCGGAGCUAAUACCGGAUAAUAUUUUGAACCGCAUGGUUCAAAAGUGAAAGACGGCCUUGCUGUCACUUAUAGAUGGAUCCGCGCUGCAUUAGCUAGUUGGUAAGGUAACGGCUUACCAAGGCAACGAUGCAUAGCCGACCUGAGAGGGUGAUCGGCCACGCUGGAACUGAGACACGGUCCAGACUCCUACGGGAGGCAGCAGUAGGGAAUCUUCCGCAAAGGGCGAAAGCCUGACGGAGCAACGCCGCGUGAGUGAUGAAGGUCUUCGGAUCGUAAAACUCUGUUAUUAGGGAAGAACAUAUGUGUAAGUAACUGUGCACAUCUUGACGGUACCUAAUCAGAAAGCCACGGCUAACUACGUG
Molecule: ribosomal RNA, 497 nt
Filed under: uncultured bacterium
Lineage: Bacteria
Description: partial 16S ribosomal RNA
Rfam family: Bacterial small subunit ribosomal RNA
Source: RNAcentral